AACGAACGCUGGCGGCAGGCCUAACACAUGCAAGUCGAACGAACCCUUCGGGGUGAGUGGCGCACGGGUGCGUAACACGUGGGAAUAUACACAUAGGUAAGGAAUAACUCAGGGAAACUUGCGCUAAUACCUUAUAAUAACUCCGGUUCAAAGAUUUAUCGCCUAUGGAUUAGCCCGCGCUAGAUUGGUUUGUUGGUGAGGUAAGAGCUCACCAAGACUACGAUCUAUAGCUGGUCUUAGAGGAUGAUCAGCCACACUGGAACUGAGACACGGUCCAGACUCCUACGGGAGGCAGCAGUGAGGAAUAUUGCGCAAUGGAGGAAACUCUGACGCAGCCAUGCCGCGUGAAUGAAGAAGGCCUUAGGGUUGUAAAUUCUUUCAGAUGCGAAGAUAAUGACGGUACCAUCAGAAGAAGCUCCGGCUAAAUUCGUG
This 432-nucleotide ribosomal RNA is filed under the name uncultured bacterium. RNAcentral's name for it is "bacterial SSU rRNA". It matches the Rfam family "Bacterial small subunit ribosomal RNA", at positions 29 to 507 of the family's 1533-position model. The record is from RNAcentral.